RNAcentral lists this ribosomal RNA (379 nucleotides) under uncultured cyanobacterium. Its description in RNAcentral is "bacterial SSU rRNA". It matches the Rfam family "Bacterial small subunit ribosomal RNA", at positions 376 to 770 of the family's 1533-position model. Lineage: Bacteria; Bacillati; Cyanobacteriota. The record is from RNAcentral.
GGCAACCCUGACGGAGCAACGCCGCGUGUGGGAGGACGGCCUUCGGGUUGUAAACCACUUUUCUCAGGGAAGAAGGACUGACGGUACCUGAGGAAUAAGCCUCGGCUAACUCCGUGCCAGCAGCCGCGGUAAGACGGAGGAGGCAAGCGUUAUCCGGAAUUAUUGGGCGUAAAGCGUCCGUAGGUGGUUAUUCAAGUCUGCUGUCAAAGCGUGGGGCUUAACUCCAUAGAGGCAGUGGAAACUGAGUGACUAGAGUGCGGUAGGGGUCGAGGGAAUUCCCAGUGUAGCGGUGAAAUGCGUAGAUAUUGGGAAGAACACCGGUGGCGAAAGCGCUCGGCUGGGCCAAAACUGACACUGAGGGACGAAAGCUAGGGGAGCG